AUAUCCUUCUGGCUAAAUCCCAAAUGGCACCCUAAAUGACCAGUUCAAAAGUAGUGCACUUUAUAGGGAACAGGGUGUCAUUUGGGCCAAAUAUAGGAUAAUUUGACUGUAGCCUUCUGCGUUCAGCAGAGACCACUUUUUCCUUGUUGGCACUUUAUCUGUUGGUUAGUAGGUGUUAUUAUAUUAUUGAACCUCUUGAGCCAUACGCUAUUGGGUUAGUCAGACUGAUCAGCAAGUCUCAAUAAGGUGUUGGGAUCAACAAGUCUCAAAAAGGUGUUGGGUUAGUCAGGCUGAUCAACAAGUCUCAAUAAGGUGUUGGGUUAGUCAGGCUGAUCAACAAGUCUCAAUAAGGUGUUGGGUUAGUCAGGCUGAUCAACAAGUCUCAAUAAGGUGUUGGCAUCAACAAGUCUCAAUAAGGUGUUGGGUUAGUCAGGCUGAUCAACAAGUGUCAAUAAGGUGUUGGGUUAGUCAGGCUGAUCAACAAGUCUCAAUAAGGUGUUGGGUUAGUCAGGCUGAUCAACAAGUCUCAAUAAGGUGUUGGCAUCUACAAGUCUCAAUAAGGUGUUGGGUUAGUCAGGCUGAUCAGCAAGUCUCAAGUCUCAAACACCUUAGUAAUAUAUUCUGUCCAUGGACUCAUGCUACUCAUAUUCACUGGGGUUGUGUGUCCCAAAUGGCAACUCAUUCUACAUUUGACCAGGGCCCAUAUGGGGGAUAGGAGGUCAUUAAUGACCGGGGCCCAUAUGGGGGGGGAUAGGAAGUCAUUAAUGACCAGGGCCCAUAUGGGGGAUAGGAAGUCAUUAAUGACCAGGGCCCAUAUGGGGGAUAGGAGGAAGUCAUUAAUGACCAGGGCCCAUAUGGGGGGAUAGGAAGUCAUUAAUGACCAGGGCCCAUAUGGGGGAUAGGAAGUCAUUAAUGACCAGGGCCCAUAUGGGGGGAUAGGAAGUCAUUAAUGACCAGGGCCCAUAUGGGGGAUAGGAAGUCAUUAAUGACCAGGGCCCAUAUGGGGGAUAGGAAGUCAUUAAUGACCAGGGCCCAUAUGGGGGAUAGGAAGUCAUUAAUGACCAGGGCCCAUAUGGGGGGGAUAGGAAGUCAUUAAUGACCAGGGCCCAUAUGGGGGAAUAGGAAGUCAUUAAUGACCAGGGCCCAUAUGGGG
Oncorhynchus tshawytscha (Chinook salmon) is the source of this 1153-nucleotide long non-coding RNA. Lineage: Eukaryota; Metazoa; Chordata; Actinopteri; Salmoniformes; Salmonidae. The record is from Ensembl.